Non-coding RNA from Mycena latifolia, 99 nucleotides. Lineage: Eukaryota; Fungi; Basidiomycota; Agaricomycetes; Agaricales; Mycenaceae. The record is from the annotation of a GenBank genome assembly.
GGCCUGGUGGUGUAAUGGUAACACUUCUGCUUUUUAUUUGGCUCUUUGCGCGAGUAGACCUUUUGGUAGGAGAUUCUUGUUUGAUUCAAGGCCAGGCCA